This 460-nucleotide ribosomal RNA is filed under the name uncultured bacterium. Its description in RNAcentral is "partial 16S ribosomal RNA". It matches the Rfam family "Bacterial small subunit ribosomal RNA", at positions 338 to 795 of the family's 1533-position model. The record is from RNAcentral.
CCUACGGGAGGCAGCAGUGAGGAAUAUUGGUCAAUGGGCGCGAGCCUGAACCAGCCAAGUCGCGUGAGGGAUGACGGUCCUACGGAUUGUAAACCUCUUUUGCCGGGGAGCAAGCGUGCGUUCGUGAACGCGCGUCGACAGUCCCCGGAGAAAAAGCAUCGGCUAACUCCGUGCCAGCAGCCGGGGUAAUCCGGAGGGUGCGAGGGUUCUCCGGAUUUAUUUGGUUUAAAGGGUGCGUAGGCGGGCUGCCAAGUCAGCGGUAAAAAUGCGGGGCUAAACGCCGUCGAGCCGUUGAAACUGGCGUGCUUGAGUGGGCGAGAGGUAGGCGGAAUGCGUGGUGUAGCGGUGAAAUGCAUAGAUAUCACGCAGAACUCCGAUUGCGAAGGCAGCAUACCGGGGCGCUACUGACGCUGAGGCACGAAAGCGUGGGUAUCGAACAGGAUUAGAUACCCGGGUAGUC